RNAcentral lists this small RNA (55 nucleotides) under Sinorhizobium meliloti 2011. RNAcentral's name for it is "putative ncRNA". The record is from RNAcentral. Lineage: Bacteria; Pseudomonadati; Pseudomonadota; Alphaproteobacteria; Hyphomicrobiales; Rhizobiaceae.
AGUUGAUGCAACGGAAAUGACCGGCGCAUCAUGGUAAACAUGUGGCAGCACGAGA